Molecule: transfer RNA, 71 nt
Filed under: Australolacerta australis
Lineage: Eukaryota; Metazoa; Chordata; Lepidosauria; Squamata; Lacertidae
Description: tRNA-Ile
Source: RNAcentral
GGACGUGUGCCUGAAAUUUAAGGGUUACUUUGAUAGAGUAAACCAUAGGGAGUAGUAGCCCCUCACCUCCU